UGGGACAACUACCGGAAACGGUAGCUAAUACCGAAUAAUUGUUUUCUUCGCCUGAAGGAAACUGGAAAGACGGAGCAAUCUGUCACUUGGGGAUGGGCCUGCGGCGCAUUAGCUAGUUGGUGAGGUAACGGCUCACCAAGGCGACGAUGCGUAGCCGACCUGAGAGGGUGAUCGGCCACACUGGGACUGAGACACGGCCCAGACUCCUACGGGAGGCAGCAGUAGGGAAUCUUCCGCAAUGGGCGAAAGCCUGACGGAGCAAUGCCGCGUGAGUGAUGAAGGUUUUCGGAUCGUAAAGCUCUGUUGCCAGGGAAGAACGCUUGGGAGAGUAACUGCUCUCAAGGUGACGGUACCUGAGAAGAAAGCCCCGGCUAACUACGUGCCAGCAGCCGCGGUAAUACGUAGGGGGCAAGCGUUGUCCGGAAUUAUUGGGCGUAAAGCGCGCGCAGGCGGUCAUUUAAGUCUGGUGUUUAAUCCCGGGGCUCAACCCCGGAUCGCAC
This 500-nucleotide ribosomal RNA is filed under the name Paenibacillus tundrae. RNAcentral's name for it is "bacterial SSU rRNA". It matches the Rfam family "Bacterial small subunit ribosomal RNA", at positions 139 to 626 of the family's 1533-position model. Lineage: Bacteria; Bacillati; Bacillota; Bacilli; Caryophanales; Paenibacillaceae. The record is from RNAcentral.